Molecule: ribosomal RNA, 440 nt
Filed under: uncultured Pseudomonas sp.
Lineage: Bacteria; Pseudomonadati; Pseudomonadota; Gammaproteobacteria; Pseudomonadales; Pseudomonadaceae
Description: bacterial SSU rRNA
Rfam family: Bacterial small subunit ribosomal RNA
Source: RNAcentral
GUGGUUAAUUCGAAGCAACGCGAAGAACCUUACCAGGCCUUGACAUGCAGAGAACUUUCCAGAGAUGGAUUGGUGCCUUCGGGAACUCUGACACAGGUGCUGCAUGGCUGUCGUCAGCUCGUGUCGUGAGAUGUUGGGUUAAGUCCCGUAACGAGCGCAACCCUUGUCCUUAGUUACCAGCACGUUAUGGUGGGCACUCUAAGGAGACUGCCGGUGACAACCGGAGGAAGGUGGGGAUGACGUCAAGUCAUCAUGGCCUUUACGGCCUGGGCUACACACGUGCUACAAUGGUCGGUACAAAGGGUUGCCAAGCCGCGAGGUGGAGCUAAUCCCAUAAAACCGAUCGUAGUCCGGAUCGCAGUCUGCAACUCGACUGCGUGAAGUCGGAAUCGCUAGUAAUCGUGAAUCAGAAUGUCACGGUGAAUACGUUCCCGGGCCUU